UCUGAAGAUGCUUCAACCCUCACUCUU
This 27-nucleotide non-coding RNA is filed under the name Mus musculus (house mouse). Lineage: Eukaryota; Metazoa; Chordata; Mammalia; Rodentia; Muridae. The record is from RNAcentral.